Molecule: ribosomal RNA, 440 nt
Filed under: uncultured eukaryote
Lineage: Eukaryota
Description: SSU rRNA
Rfam family: Eukaryotic small subunit ribosomal RNA
Source: RNAcentral
AGGGUUCCCAAGAAUAAGCCAUGCACGUCUAAGUAUAAAUGAUAUACAGUGAAACUGCGAAUGGCUCAUUAAAACAGUUAUAGUUUAUUUGGUAAUCGAAUUUACAUGGAUAACCGUGGUAAUUCUAGAGCUAAUACAUGCUGUAAAGCCCGACUUCACGGAAGGGCCGUAUUUAUUAGAUAACAGACCAAUAUUCCUCGUGUCUAUUGUGGUGAAUCAUAAUAACUAAUCGGAUCGCAUGGGCUAGUCCCGCGACAAACCAUUCAAGUUUCUGCCUCAUCAGCUUUCGAUGGAAGCGUAUUGGACUACCAAGGCUUUUACGGGUAACGGAGGAUUAAGGUUCGAUUCCGGAAAGGGAGCCUGAAAAACGGCUACCACAUCUUAACGAAGGCAGCAGGCGCGUAAAUUACCCAAUCCUAAUUCAGGGAGGUAUUGACAGA